AUUGAACGCUGGCGGCAGGCUUAACACAUGCAAGUCGAGCGGGGGAAGGUAGCUUGCUACUGGACCUAGCGGCGGACGGGUGAGUAAUGCUUAGGAAUCUGCCUAUUGGUGGGGGACAACAUCUCGAAAGGGAUGCUAAUACCGCAUACGUCCUACGGGAGAAAGCAGGGGAUCUUCGGACCUUGCGCUAAUAGAUGAGCUUAAGUCGGAUUAGCUAGGUGGUGGGGUAAAGGCCUACCAAGGCUAAGAUCUGUAGCGGGUCUGAGAGGAUGAUCCGCCACACUGGGACUGAGACACGGCCCAGACUCCUACGGGAGGCAGCAGUGGGGAAUAGUGGACAAUGGGGGGAACCCUGAUCCAGCCAUGCCGCGUGUGUGAAGAAGGCCUUAUGGUUGUAAAGCACUUUAAGCGAGGAGGAGGCUACUUUAGUUAAUACCUAGAGAUAGUGGACGUUACUCGCAGAAUAAGCACCGGCUAACUCUGUGCCAGCCGCCGCGGUAA
This 501-nucleotide ribosomal RNA is filed under the name uncultured bacterium. RNAcentral describes it as "partial 16S ribosomal RNA". It matches the Rfam family "Bacterial small subunit ribosomal RNA", at positions 30 to 523 of the family's 1533-position model. The record is from RNAcentral.